AUUGAACGCUGGCGGCAUGCUUUACACAUGCAAGUCGAACGGUAACAGGCCUUCGGGUGCUGCCGAGUGGCGAACGGGUGAGUAAUGCAUCGGAACGUGCCCAGAGGUGGGUGAUAACGCAGCGAAAGCUGUGCUAAUACCGCAUGUGAUCUGAGGAUGAAAGCGGGGGACCAGGCAGCAAUGUUUGGCCUCGCGCCUUUGGAGCGGCCGAUGUCAGAUUAGGUAGUUGGUGGGGUAAAGGCCUACCAAGCCGACGAUCUGUAGCUGGUCUGAGAGGACGACCAGCCACACUGGGACUGAGACACGGCCCAGACUCCUACGGGAGGCAGCAGUGGGGAAUUUUGGACAAUGGGCGCAAGCCUGAUCCAGCAAUGCCGCGUGCGGGAAGAAGGCCUUCGGGUUGUAAACCGCCUUUGUACGGAACGAAAAGGCUCUGGCUAAUACCUGGGGCUGAUGACGGUACCGUAAGAAUAAGCACCGGCUAACUACGUG
Molecule: ribosomal RNA, 492 nt
Filed under: uncultured bacterium
Lineage: Bacteria
Description: partial 16S ribosomal RNA
Rfam family: Bacterial small subunit ribosomal RNA
Source: RNAcentral